Molecule: transfer RNA, 54 nt
Filed under: Gnathostoma binucleatum
Lineage: Eukaryota; Metazoa; Nematoda; Chromadorea; Rhabditida; Gnathostomatidae
Description: tRNA-Val
Source: RNAcentral
GUCUUUAGUUUAAUUUUGAAUAGUUUGCUUACAAUAAACAGGUUUGAAGAUUUU